AACAAAUUUGAAAUUCUAAAACUCAAUUGCUUAAUUUUUGACUUUAUAACGUAUAACAAUCUUCUUUCAAUUGGUGAAAAAAUGACAAUGUAAGACUGGAUUUUCUCUGAGCGUGUUCAAGUGAAAAGUAACUUUAGAAUUUACUAGAUAUAAUACAUACAUACAUACACACACACACACAUGAUGCGGUUUCGGUUUUAUGCGUGCGGUUUUGGCUAGUAACCAAACCGAAAUCGUAAAUUUGGUUAUUCAACCCACCUAAAACCGCCACAUACGCUGGAACCGUUGGUAUGGUUUUAAUUGGUGCGGUUCGUGCGGUUUUUGGUGCUGUUUCGGUUCCAAUUUGGUUACUUGCUCAGCCCUACUUAAACCUAUUUGGGUAGACUUUUAACUCUUAAGAUGGAGUUUAAAGC
Molecule: long non-coding RNA, 413 nt
Filed under: Panax ginseng (ginseng)
Lineage: Eukaryota; Viridiplantae; Streptophyta; Magnoliopsida; Apiales; Araliaceae
Description: long non-coding RNA (PGIN_LNC007696)
Source: RNAcentral